This 413-nucleotide ribosomal RNA is filed under the name uncultured Pseudomonas sp. Its description in RNAcentral is "bacterial SSU rRNA". It matches the Rfam family "Bacterial small subunit ribosomal RNA", at positions 971 to 1382 of the family's 1533-position model. The record is from RNAcentral. Lineage: Bacteria; Pseudomonadati; Pseudomonadota; Gammaproteobacteria; Pseudomonadales; Pseudomonadaceae.
UUACCAGGCCUUGACAUGCAGAGAACUUUCGAGAGACUGGAUUGGUGCCUUCGGGAACUCUGACACAGGUGCUGCAUGGCUGUCGUCAGCUCGUGCCGUGAGAUGUUGGGUUAAGUCCCGUAACGAGCGCAACCCUUGUCCUUAGUUACCAGCACGUUAUGGUGGGCACUCUAAGGAGACUGCCGGUGACAAACCGGAGGAAGGUGGGGAUGACGUCAAGUCAUCAUGGCCCUUACGGCCUGGGCUACACACGUGCUACAAUGGUCGGUACAAAGGGUUGCCAAGCCGCGAGGUGGAGCUAAUCCCAUAAAACCGAUCGUAGUCCGGAUCGCAGUCUGCAACUCGACUGCGUGAAGUCGGAAUCGCUAGUAAUCGUGAAUCAGAAUGUCACGGUGAAUACGUUCCCGGGCCUU